CUACGGGCGGCUCCAGUGGGGAAUAUUGCACAAUGAGCGAAAGCUUGAUGCAGCCAUACCGCGCGUGUGAAGAAGGCCCGAGGGUUGUAAAGCACUUUCAAUUGUGAGGAAGGUUCAGUAGUUAAUACCUGCUGUUCUUGACGUUAACUUUAGAAGAAGCACCGGCUAACUCUGUGCCGGCAGCCGCGGUAAUACAGAGGGUGCAAGCGUUAUUCGGAAUUACUGGGCGUAAAGCGCGCGUAGGCGGAUUGAUAAGUCAGUUGUGAAAGCCCUGGGCUCAACCUAGGAAUUGCAUCUGAUACUGUCAGUCUAGAGUUUAAGAGAGGGAAGGGGAAUUCCAGGUGUAGCAGUGAAAUGCGUAGAUAUCUGGAGGAACAUCAGUGGCGAAGGCGCCUUCCUGGCUUAAAACUGACGCUGAGGUGCGAAAGCGUGGGUAGCGAACGGGAUUAGAUACCCCUGUAGUC
Molecule: ribosomal RNA, 464 nt
Filed under: uncultured bacterium
Lineage: Bacteria
Description: partial 16S ribosomal RNA
Rfam family: Bacterial small subunit ribosomal RNA
Source: RNAcentral